This is a long non-coding RNA of Apis dorsata (giant honeybee), 313 nucleotides long. RefSeq lists it as uncharacterized. NCBI's taxonomy places the organism in Eukaryota, Metazoa, Arthropoda, Insecta, Hymenoptera, Apidae. The transcript has 2 exons. The record is from RefSeq and is a predicted model, not a curated record.
GAAGAAAUAGAAAAGAAAAGAAGAAGGGGAGGGGGGAGUGCAGAAUAAAGAAAAAGAUUGAGUGAACAGAAGAGAGAGUUAAAAAUUUCGAGUGUAUGUAGAACAGCUUCAGAUACACAUCACUGGAAAAUCGAAGACGCAGGGAAUGGAUUCAAAUACCCGUGAAAAGUAUCAUUCAUGUGGGCCAUCCAUCUUUUCUCGAACCUCUCAGCUUAACCUAGAGAGAUGCUUAACCUAUCAUAGUAUGCAUGCAACUGACUGUUUACCUUCGUUAAAAGGGACGAGAUAUCAUUCCACUUAAUCCAAAAAAAAA